AUCAUACUCCUUCCGUCCUAAAAUUCUUGUCUUAGAUUCGUCUAGAUACGGAUGUAUCUAAUACUAAAACGUGACUUGAUACAUCCGUACUUAGACAAAUCUAAGACAAGAAUUUUGGGACGGAGGGAGUACUUG
Molecule: non-coding RNA, 135 nt
Organism: Triticum aestivum (bread wheat)
Lineage: Eukaryota; Viridiplantae; Streptophyta; Magnoliopsida; Poales; Poaceae
Source: Rfam